UAGCUCAGUUGGCUAGAGCAGCUGAUUUGUAAUCAGCAGGUCGGGGGUUCGAGUCCCUUCACCA
RNAcentral lists this transfer RNA (64 nucleotides) under Spirochaeta sp. Its description in RNAcentral is "tRNA-Thr". It matches the Rfam family "tRNA", at positions 8 to 63 of the family's 71-position model. Rfam says of the family: Transfer RNA (tRNA) molecules are approximately 80 nucleotides in length. Their secondary structure includes four short double-helical elements and three loops (D, anti-codon, and T loops). Lineage: Bacteria; Pseudomonadati; Spirochaetota; Spirochaetia; Spirochaetales; Spirochaetaceae. The record is from RNAcentral.